CCUACGGGAGGCAGCAGUGAGGAAUAUUGGUCAAUGGACGAGAGUCUGAACCAGCCAAGUAGCGUGAAGGAUGACUGCCCUAUGGGUUGUAAACUUCUUUUAUAUGGGAAUAAAAUGUUCCACGUGUGGGAUUUUGUAUGUACCAUAUGAAUAAGGAUCGGCUAACCCCGGGGCAGCAGCCGCGGUAAUACGGGGGAUCCGAGCGUUAUCCGGAUUUAUUGGGGUUAAAGGGGGCGGAGGUGGGUUGUUAAGUCAGUUGUGCAAGUUUGCGGCUCAACCGUAAAAUUGCAGUUGAAACUGGCAGCCUUGAGUACAGUAGAGGUGGGCGGAAUGCGUGGUGUAGCGGUGAAAUGCUUAGAUAUCACGAAGAACUCCGAUUGCGAAGGCAGCUCACUGGACUGCAACUGACACUGAGGCUCGAAAGUGUGGGUAUCAAACAGGAUUAGAUACCCCUGUAGUC
Molecule: ribosomal RNA, 460 nt
Filed under: uncultured bacterium
Lineage: Bacteria
Description: partial 16S ribosomal RNA
Rfam family: Bacterial small subunit ribosomal RNA
Source: RNAcentral